GAUGAACGCUGGCGGCGUGCCUAAUACAUGCAAGUCGAGCGAACAGAUGAGGAGCUUGCUCCUUUGACGUUAGCGGCGGACGGGUGAGUAACACGUGGAUAACCUACCUAUCAGACUGGGAUAACUUCGGGAAACCGGAGCUAAUACCGGAUAAUAUCUUGAACCGCAUGGUUCAAUAGUGAAAGACGGCUUUGCUGUCACUUCUAGAUGGAUCCGCGCCGCAUUAGCUAGUUGGUAAGGUAACGGCUUACCAAGGCAACGAUGCGUAGCCGACCUGAGAGGGGGAUCGGCCACAUGGGAACGGAGACACGGUCCAGAGUCCUACGGUAGGCAGCAGUAGGGAACCUUCGGCAAUGGGCGAAAGCCUGACGGAGUAACGCCGCGUGAGUGAUGAAGGCCUUCGGAUCGUAAUACUCGGUUAUUAGGGAAGAACAAAUUUGUAAGUAACUGUGCACUUCUUGACGGUACCUGAUCAGAAAGCCACGGCUAACUACGUG
Molecule: ribosomal RNA, 497 nt
Filed under: uncultured bacterium
Lineage: Bacteria
Description: partial 16S ribosomal RNA
Rfam family: Bacterial small subunit ribosomal RNA
Source: RNAcentral